Long non-coding RNA from Brachypodium distachyon (stiff brome), 522 nucleotides. RefSeq lists it as uncharacterized. NCBI's taxonomy places the organism in Eukaryota, Viridiplantae, Streptophyta, Magnoliopsida, Poales, Poaceae. The transcript is spliced from 2 exons. The record is from RefSeq and is a predicted model, not a curated record.
GUCAGCUCUGCUCACUGAAUGUUUUCUCCUCUCCUGCCUAACGCUUCCUCUCGUCGAUGCCUUCCUUCAGGCCUGUCCCUCCAGAUCUCCCUCCAACUCUCAGACGUAGGCAUGUGCUUAGGUCUCUCAAACGCAGGUUGCCAAGAAUUCCAGCACGAGGGGACUUGCAAGGGCAAGGAGAAUCGCAUCACGCUGCUGCCUAAAUUACUGGUGUGCUGCAAUUUCUACAAAUUUGUCUGAUCUGUGCAAGGAGGAGUUCUGCAAAUCGACACCUCGUCAUGCCCAAAAGGUGUAUCACUCUUCCUCCGGUGAUGUGCUGUGUUUCAUGUUGGCAACAGCUUGUGUUUGUCAGAGCAAUGCUUGGUUCCUACCAGUGUUGGGUUUGAUUUAUUUCGAUUGCAAUCGGGUGGACACUAACACCCUUCUUGGCAGUUUAACGACAGUUCUAUUGCACAGCAAGCUUGAUGCCUUGAAUGUGAUAAAUUUAUUCAUGAUAUUCAGUGUGCUAAUUCUUUGUGCUGA